CGGCAUCACCUUCGAGGCCGCGGCGGCGGAGGGUGCGAAAGCAAAGGCGGAGAAGGCAGAGAAGGCGGAGAAGGCAGAGAAGGCCCAGAACAAGAAGCGGAAGUGAUGAUGCU
Molecule: non-coding RNA, 113 nt
Filed under: Scrippsiella hangoei
Lineage: Eukaryota; Dinophyceae; Peridiniales; Peridiniaceae
Source: RNAcentral